AGUUAUUCCCUUAAGGGGGAUAAAGGGGGCUGCAAGGGAAGAAACGAAAAUGGAGUCUGUCCGGCUCUCUCUGCUAGGAGAGAGUCACUCAGGUUAAAAUAAGGUAGGGUAUCACAGGCUCUAGCUCUCCAGGCAGAUCCUUUAGAAAAGAGAACGUCCAACCUUUUGGGCUGCCCCUUGGGCCCUUAUGCUCUGCUUGGUGGAUCUGCAAGUCACGUGGGUGCUGGCUUCCGUCUGCAGGGAAGUCCCACCUGUGCAGAGCCAUGGCUCAUCACGAGGAGUCGGUGCGGGAGGCCAGCCUCUGCAAGAAGCUGCGGAGCAUUGAGGUGCUACAGAAGGUGCUGUGUGCGGCACAGGAACGCUCCCGGCUCACGUACGCCCGGCACCAGGAGGAUGAUGACCUGCUGAACCUGAUGGACGCCCCCAGUGUUGUUGCUAAAACUGAGCAAGAGGUUGACAUUAUAUUG
RNAcentral lists this small RNA (467 nucleotides) under Pongo abelii (Sumatran orangutan). RNAcentral's name for it is "retained intron". Lineage: Eukaryota; Metazoa; Chordata; Mammalia; Primates; Hominidae. The record is from RNAcentral.